This is a microRNA precursor of Camelus ferus (Wild Bactrian camel), 52 nucleotides long. It matches the Rfam family "mir-1302 microRNA precursor family". The record is from Rfam. Lineage: Eukaryota; Metazoa; Chordata; Mammalia; Artiodactyla; Camelidae.
AUUUCAGUAUAAGUAUAUCCCAUGGCAUAUUUGGGACAUACUUAUACUAAAA